Long non-coding RNA from Tarenaya hassleriana, 409 nucleotides. RefSeq lists it as uncharacterized. The transcript is spliced from 3 exons. The record is from RefSeq and is a predicted model, not a curated record. NCBI's taxonomy places the organism in Eukaryota, Viridiplantae, Streptophyta, Magnoliopsida, Brassicales, Cleomaceae.
CAGUGUCGAAAGCUUUAUCUGAAAAUUCGUUUGCUUUGUUCAACUUACACAGACAGAGAUCAUGUGACAGAGCGAGGUUCAUCGUUUUGUUUGGUUAUGGUUGUCAUGUAAGUUUUUCUACUGUUGGUUCAGGGAGUUGUGUAUUGGCAGCCUCCUGAACAAGCAUUAGAAAAGGUUAAAGAGCUUGUGUGGGAUCCUCUCGUUAGUUCUUAUGGACCCGACGAAGGUAUCCCAGAGUUGAGAGAAGCUCUGCAGAAGAAGUUGUGCGAAGAGAAUAAGCUACACAAAUCUGCUGUGAUGGUUACUGCAGGUGCCAAUCAGGCGUUUGUGAACCUCGUUCUCACGCUGUGUGACCCGGGUGAUUCGGUUGUCAUGUUCGAGCCGUACUACUUCAAUGCCUACAUGGCCA